CAGAAUGACUCUCGGCAACGGAUAUCUAGGCUCUUGCAUCGAUGAAGAACGUAGCGAAAUGCGAUACUUGGUGUGAAUUGCAGAAUCCCGUGAACCAUCGAGUCUUUGAACGCAAGUUGCGCCCGAUGCCACUAGGUUGAGGGCACGUCUGCCUGGGCGUCACA
RNAcentral lists this ribosomal RNA (164 nucleotides) under Astragalus pastorius. RNAcentral's name for it is "5.8 ribosomal RNA". It matches the Rfam family "5.8S ribosomal RNA". From Rfam's summary of the family: 5.8S ribosomal RNA (5.8S rRNA) is a component of the large subunit of the eukaryotic ribosome. Lineage: Eukaryota; Viridiplantae; Streptophyta; Magnoliopsida; Fabales; Fabaceae. The record is from RNAcentral.